This is a long non-coding RNA of Neopsephotus bourkii (Bourke's parrot), 1220 nucleotides long. RefSeq lists it as uncharacterized. NCBI's taxonomy places the organism in Eukaryota, Metazoa, Chordata, Aves, Psittaciformes, Psittacidae. The record is from RefSeq and is a predicted model, not a curated record. The transcript has 4 exons.
AAUAGUUUGCUUCAACAAUAGCUUGCUUUAUCUUUGUUUUUGCAUUGUAUCCUGCUUAAGCACAAUUGCGUAGGUGGAUGGGAAGAAUGUAAAUUCCUGAAACUGUGAAACAAACAGGAACAAGGGAUUUUUACAGCUGGACAUAGGAUAUAUUACAGUCAUGCUUGAUCAAAUCAACAUCUAAUCUGGAAGUAAUAGAACAAGUUAUAUGAUAAGGGCUAUAGGCAUGUGCACGGGGUUAAAUAGGCCAAAAAUCCAUAUCAAAGAAGACUACUGGCGUUACCAACUAGCUCUUAAAAGACCCUCCUGGAUAUGUGCAGAAUAAAGAAUGAAGAUUGCGUCAGGCAUCAGGAGGUGGGAUUCGUCUUCCUGAAAGUCUUAUGGGUAUGUAAAAGGCUUGACUAUAAGAAACUUUGACUCUGUACUCACAAGUGCACAUGCAGGAUAUGAAGGCAUGCACUCAGUGCUGUAAAUAAACCUUUGCUCCACUGACUUUGUCCCCAGUAAAUUUUUCUAAAGGUGAGCUCAUUUCUUACAGGUAGCAAAAUGCCAGAGUAGGAAAAAUUUUGGAGAUGAUUAAUUGGAGGAAGGGUUAAGUUGGCAGAAAUAAGUAAUCCUGCUUAAGACUUCUGCAUCUGGAGUGCUGUGAAAUCCCUUGUGUUGUAGUAGGUGCUUCAGUGGGACUCAGAGUAUUGUAAUAAUCACCUUGACUGGCUAAAUUGGGCUGGUGAAUCUUUCAGGUGAUGGGGUGAUCCGAGAACCUUACAGGUUUUGGUACAUCUCUGGGUACUUUCUAUACUGGGCACUGUAGGAGGUUCAGCAGUCUGACAGUGGAAUCUGAUCGGGACUAAAUUCAGCUGUGGUUAUCUACCUAGCAAAAUAUGUGUUUGCUUUGGGAAUAAGCGAUGGAAAAGAAAUAGUAGAAACAGAUGAACAGGCUUCAACUUGGAUGGAACUGCUGGCAAAAGCAGCAAGACAAUUUGCAGUAUAUGAAGAGAGAGGUACAUCUACUUAAUGACAGACAGAAUUAUGCAAAGCCAGGAGAAUGCAAACAAGCUACGAGCUGCAGAAGUAGUUGCUCCCACUAUGUAUGGCCCCACAGGACAGAUAACUCUUGUAACUUCAUAUAAUUAUGAAGGUGUUAUUUUACCAUUUGCUAGAUUGAUUUUCAGCUAUAAUAUAUUGUUUGCACUGUCAGGCAAGUCCAGAGGAGGCUAUGA